Molecule: ribosomal RNA, 748 nt
Filed under: uncultured bacterium
Lineage: Bacteria
Description: bacterial SSU rRNA
Rfam family: Bacterial small subunit ribosomal RNA
Source: RNAcentral
CACGGGUGAGUAACAUGUGAAUUACAUGCCCUAUAGUGGGGAAUAGCCCGGGGAAACUUGGAUUAAUACCCCAUAGUCUCGCAAGAGUAAGGGUGGCCGCAAGGCUGUCGCUAUAGGAUUGGUUCGCACCCUAUCAGCUUGUUGGUGAGGUAACGGCUCACCAAGGCUACGACGGGUACCUGGUCUGAGAGGACGAUCAGGCACACUGGAACUGAGACACGGUCCAGACACCUACGGGUGGCAGCAGUCGAGAAUAAUUCACAAUGGGGGCAACCCUGAUGGUGCAACGCCGCGUGGAGGAUGACGGUCUUCGGAUUGUAAACUCCUGUCAUCUGGGAGUAAGGCAUGGUCGUGAAUAGCGGACAUGAUUGAUAGUACCAGAAGAGGAAGGGACGGCUAACUUCGUGCCAGCAGCCGCGGUAAUACGAAGGUCCCAAGCGUUAUUCGGAAUCACUGGGCGUAAAGGGAGCGUAGGCGGCGUGGUAAGUCAGAUGUGAAAUCCCGGGGCUCAACCCCGGAACUGCAUCCGAUACUGCCAUGCUAGAGGAUUGGAGAGGUAGCUGGAAUUCUUGGUGUAGCAGUGAAAUGCGUAGAGAUCAAGAGGAACACUCGUGGCGAAAGCGAGCUACUGGACAAUUCCUGACGCUGAGGCUCGAAGGCUAGGGUAGCGAAAGGGAUUAGAUACCCCUGUAGUCCUAGCAGUAAACGGUGCACGCUUGGUGUGAGGGGAAUCGACCCCCCUUGUGCC